Non-coding RNA from Danio rerio (zebrafish), 46 nucleotides. NCBI's taxonomy places the organism in Eukaryota, Metazoa, Chordata, Actinopteri, Cypriniformes, Danionidae. The record is from Rfam.
UCAAAGGCUCUUUUAAGAGCCACACAUUUGUUUCAGUUAAAGAGCU